Xyrichtys novacula (pearly razorfish) is the source of this 1013-nucleotide non-coding RNA. Lineage: Eukaryota; Metazoa; Chordata; Actinopteri; Labriformes; Labridae. The record is from the annotation of a GenBank genome assembly.
UUCUAGUUCAGUUCAUGCUCGGUUGUCUUGCUGUUAGCAAUGACCAUUGAGUCCAAGUCCCCCUAAAUGUAUAUUUUUCAUUUUAACUAAAUUAAUACAAGAUCCAUUUAAAUAAAUGACGGUCAGAUAGGCGCCGUUGUAUGGAAAUGAGAGAAAUAUAAACUCUUUGAUAGUAAUCGCUGUUUUUUCGACACCUACGGUGGCCGUGAAAUUCGCGAAACGUCUCUCCCACAGCGUGUAGGUUUGUCCGCUUUGAUCACUUGUAAAAAAAUGGCGGUUGCCGUUGAUGUCUACGGUAAUGAAAACAGUGUUUACAUCUUUUUUACAUAUAUUCAUGUAAUUAUUUUACAGCUAAGAAAAUUGAUUUAAUGUUGAUUUCCUCUCCAGUUUCUCUUCAUCGAUCCCCGAAAUCUAAUCACCCACGCUUGGCUCUUCAGUCCCUCUACAGCCGUUAGCUGUGAGUAUGAUUACACUGUUCUGGGUUCAGUUCAGCAAACACCCCUAACAGAUCUUGCCCAUGUGAUAAAUAUAAGAUUAUAAAACGACACGGUGUAGUUUUGCUUUUAAAGUUAAGACCAAUUUGUUGUCUUUCCUGUGUGACUCUUGUCUGAUUUUGUCGAACUUCACCCUGCUGUCGGUUUUCUCAGUUGAGACUUGCAGAGGACUGAUGGGUGUUUCCCGCUUCAUUCACCAUCCACCCCUGCAGCUAUUCAUUCCUUUUACCUGGUUUAAUGCGAGGCGAGGCUGCACAAAAAUGUGUUUAAGCGGCUGUGGAGGCUGCCUGUGUAUUUCUGUGACCCCUGGCUAUGGUGCUGUAUGACUCCCCAGGGCUCGUUUUUAAUGUGCCUCUGCUCUGUGUGUUCUGGGCAGGUGGCUCCUUGUAAAAGUGACGAUCAUGGGGGGAAAUGGAAAACCUCACUGGUUUCAGACUCUCCUUCAACUUCUCAGAUGGGUUGCAUAAGUCCAUUGACAGUACAAAGUGUUGUAAAUUUCACUCUGACCUCAUUAAAUCA